CAGGCUUAACACAUGCAAGUCGAGGGGCAUCAGGAAGAAAGCUUGCUUUCUUUGCUGGCGACCGGCGCACGGGUGAGUAACACGUAUCCAACCUGCCCUUUACUCGGGGAUAGCCUUUCGAAAGAAAGAUUAAUACCCGAUAGCAUAAUGAUUCCGCAUGGUUUCAUUACUAAAGGAUUCCGGUAAAGGAUGGGGAUGCGUUCCAUUAGGUUGUUGGUGGGGUAACGGCCCACCAAGCCUUCGAUGGAUAGGGGUUCUGAGAGGAAGGUCCCCCACAUUGGAACUGAGACACGGUCCAAACUCCUACGGGAGGCAGCAGUGAGGAAUAUUGGUCAAUGGGCGCUAGCCUGAACCAGCCAAGUAGCGUGAAGGAUGAAGGCUCUAUGGGUCGUAAACUUCUUUUAUAUAAGAAUAAAGUGCAGUAUGUAUACUGUUUUGUAUGUAUUAUAUGAAUAAGGAUCGGCUAACUCCGUGCCAGCAGCCGCGGUAAUACGGAGGAUCCGAGCGUUAUCCGGAUUUAUUGGGUUUAAAGGGAGCGUAGGUGGACUGGUAAGUCAGUUGUGAAAGUUUGCGGCUCAACCGUAAAAUUGCAGUUGAUACUGUCAGUCUUGAGUACAGUAGAGGUGGGCGGAAUUCGUGGUGUAGCGGUGAAAUGCUUAGAUAUCACGAAGAACUCCGAUUGCGAAGGCAGCUCACUGGACUGCAACUGACACUGAUGCUCGAAAGUGUGGGUAUCAAACAGGAUUAGAUACCCUGGUAGUCCACACAGUAAACGAUGAAUACUCGCUGUUUGCGAUAUACAGUAAGCGGCCAAGCGAAAGCAUUAAGUAUUCCACCUGGGGAGUACGCCGGCAACGGUGAAACUCAAAGGAAUUGACGGGGGCCCGCACAAGCGGAGGAACAUGUGGUUUAAUUCGAUGAUACGCGAGGAACCUUACCCGGGCUUAAAUUGCAGUGGAAUGAUGUGGAAACAUGUCAGUGAGCAAUCACCGCUGUGAAGGUGCUGCAUGGUUGUCGUCAGCUCGUGCCGUGAGGUGUCGGCUUAAGUGCCAUAACGAGCGCAACCCUUAUCUUUAGUUACUAACAGGUCAUGCUGAGGACUCUAGAGAGACUGCCGUCGUAAGAUGUGAGGAAGGUGGGGAUGACGUCAAAUCAGCACGGCCCUUACGUCCGGGGCUACACACGUGUUACAAUGGGGGGUACAGAAGGCAGCUAGCGGGUGACCGUAUGCUAAUCCCAAAAGCCUCUCUCAGUUCGGAUCGAAGUCUGCAACCCGACUUCGUGAAGCUGGAUUCGCUAGUAAUCGCGCAUCAGCCACGGCGCGGUGAAUACGUUCCCGGGCCUUGUACACACCGCCCGUCAAGCCAUGGGAGCCGGGGGUACCUGAAGUACGUAACCGCAAGGAUCGUCCUAGGGUAAAACUGGUGACUGG
This 1432-nucleotide ribosomal RNA is filed under the name uncultured organism. RNAcentral describes it as "16S ribosomal RNA". It matches the Rfam family "Bacterial small subunit ribosomal RNA". The record is from RNAcentral.